GAUGAACGCUGGCGGCGUGCCUAAUACAUGCAAGUCGAGCGAACAGACGAGGAGCUUGCUCCUCUGACGUUAGCGGCGGACGGGUGAGUAACACGUGGAUAACCUACCUAUAAGACUGGGAUAACUUCGGGAAACCGGAGCUAAUACCGGAUAAUAUAUUGACCCGCAUGGUUCAAUAGUAAAAGACGGUUUUGCUGUCACUUAUAGAUGGAUCCGCGCCGCAUUAGCUAGUUGGUAAGGUAACGGCUUACCAAGGCAACGAUGCGUAGCCGACCUGAGAGGGUGAUCGGCCACACUGGAACUGAGACACGGUCCAGACUCCUACGGGAGGCAGCAGUAGGGAAUCUUCCGCAAUGGGCGAAAGCCUGACGGAGCAACGCCGCGUGAGUGAUGAAGGUCUUCGGAUCGUAAAACUCUGUUAUUAGGGAAGAACAAAUGUGUAAGUAACUAUGCACGUCUUGACGGUACCUAAUCAGAAAGCCACGGCUAACUACGUG
Molecule: ribosomal RNA, 497 nt
Filed under: uncultured bacterium
Lineage: Bacteria
Description: partial 16S ribosomal RNA
Rfam family: Bacterial small subunit ribosomal RNA
Source: RNAcentral